GGACACAAAAAAAAAAAAAUUAUUGUAACCACACCCUGCCUUGCAUUGUUGGACUUCCUAUACAAUAAUUUCUCGACAUAACAAAUUAUCUUUUGUAUAAUUUAUUUUGAAACAACAUUCAAGCAAAAAAGAUAAAUCUUCAAUGGAAUGAAUAGAUACCAAGCUAACUCGCAAAAAAUAUGGUGGCACCAUAUCAUUGACCACAUCUUCUUCGUGUAAGACCAUAUAAGCCUCCUUUACCGCAUACACCUAUCCUCAUAUAUUGUUCCACGACCAAAUAUCAGCUGCAUAAAUCUACAAAUGAACAUUAGUCAAAAAAGUUAUACAUUCCUUCACCAACUAUUCCUCUUAAGCAAACAAACGCCUUCUCCACCUCCACCCUCACCCCUAAACACUUUCACUACGCAACAAGCCAACGAUAACAUUAAUAUACUCCUUCUAUUCUAAAGAAAAAUUAUAUAACAUAAAAAACUUUUCUCCCACCAACCCCCAUUCCCCAAUCACCCAAAGAUACUACCAAAAUAAAGUAUUUUCUUCCAUCCCUUACAAUUCUAUACAAAUCAUUAUCCCACCACCUAGAACCCUGCAUUAAGCUCUCUCAUACCCUACCAAAAUCCUCUCCAUAUUUAUUAACCAACAUCUUAGAUUAAAUAUAUUUUUUCUUCAAAUUUAGUCUUUAAAUAUAUUUUUUUUAGUCAAUUUGGUCAAUAAAAUUACUAGUUAAAGAGACAUUUAAAGACGUGCUUGUAAUUUUAAAACAUUAUGAGAUUAUAGCGACAACACAUAGCACAUUUAAGAAAAAUUACUAUUUUUUUUAAUACUAUACAUAUAACAAAAUUUGAAAGAGAUAUAUAGUGUAACCGAUACUCAGUUUUGACGUUCUUCUUUGAGGUAAAUUAUGAUUUAUGGAUACUUAUUUACCUAAUAUAGACAUUUUCUUUUAAUAUUUGACUUUGCAUUUUAUAUAGUCCAAGAAGGUUGGGUUAAAUAAUUUUUAAUUUCUAUAAAAUUUUGAAAUUUUAUUUUUAGUAUUUGUAAAAAAAGUACAUUUUUUAGUCCUUAUAAAAUUAUCAUGCAAGUAAUUUUAGUCUCUGAUGGAACAUCAACAUAUAUUUUUGAAUAAUUUUUUUCACACAUAUUUACGACACUAUAAAAAGUUCAUAUACAAAAAAUGAGCUAAAAAUUCGAUUUCUAUAACCAUAUUUUCGUUACUUUUAUUUUGAGCACAUGUCGUUUAAAAAAUUCAUAUUUAAUUCAUCCUAAGUUAUAAAAUUCUAAAUUUUUUUGAAUGAACUUUUAAUAAUUUUCUAAACAUGCUUACAAAAAAUUAUUCAAAAAUUUAAAGUUGAAGAAUAUUUCGUUUUAGCAAAGACUAAAGUAACUUGCAUAAUAAUUUUGUAGGGAAUAAGAAAUGUGACUUUUUUACAAAAUUUUAAAAUUUUAUAAGCCUGAAAACUUAUUUAUUCCUAAAAUUUUAUAUAAAAUUGUAAUUUAAUUAUAUAUGUAAUCAAUAAGGUCUUUACAAAGACCAUAAGUUUGUCUCUAAGUAAGUAUAUAGGCUCACAAGUAUUUAUGUAUACUUUAAAUCUUUAUAAAAAUAUAAGUACGCAGAUGUAACAAUUUGAAUCAAAAUAUAUUAUAAUAUUACAAAAAUUCAUUAAAAUUUUCAGAAAAACACAUAAAAUUAAUUAUAUUGUUCAAUAUAAUACAAAUUUUAUCAAAUUCGUAACCCAAAUCUUCAAAUAAACUCAUAUUUUCAUUCUUUAUUUGAUGUUGUUAGAGAUGAAAAUAUGAGUUUAUUAAAGAUUUAGUUAUGAAUUUGAUGAAAUUUGUAUUAUAUUGAGGAUGAAAAUUAAUUUUAUGGGUUUUGUUUGAAAUUUUUGAAUUUUUGCAAAAAAAAUAAUAACAUUAUUACAUUUUAAAACAUAAAAGAUCAAAAUGUUACUUAAAAUUAUAAUAAAGGAUCAAGUCGGGAAGAAAAAAAUGAUUAAAGAUUAAAACGUUAACUGAAAUUAAGUUAAGGGACCACAUAUACUAUUUAACCUAUUAUCAAUAACAAUAUAUUACUAUAUUAUUAUAUGCAAUUAAAUAGAUCAGUAUAUUUGAUGUAUAGGCCGUAUGAAAAAAUGUCUACACAAUUUUAGGUUGAUUUUAAGUAUUUUUUAAAUAGAUUUUUAGAAUCUUUUAUCUUAAUUUGUUUAAUAAUAAUGUAAUUAUGAAAUUGUCUAAACAUGAUUUUGAAUUGAUUAGUGUGUUUCAAAACUUUCAUUUGUUUAAAAAUCUUAGAUUAGCGUGUGUUUAGUUAUGCUGUGAUUAAAAUUAAUUUUUAAUGAAUUAAUUUUGUAAAAUUAACUAUUUUAAAAGUGAAUUAAAUAUAAAAUGUUUUAUAAUUAAAUAUAUUAAUGUAAAAUUAAAUUAAACAAUAAAUUUUUCAAAAGCUAUAGAUUCUAAUUUCAAGGUUCAAUCAAUUCUAAAAAUAAAAUUAAUUUAAAAUCACAAUGACAAAUGGUGUGCCAAAAGGAACCGAUUGUAACUUCUUAAAACACCCCUAAAUUUACACAUAGUAUGAUAGACAAACAUCAAAUCAAAUAUAGACAAAAUUAACUUUACACUUCAUAAAUUAAUUUUAACUCCUUUAAAAAUAGAAGUUAACCAACCAUACAUAAACCCUAUAAGAUUCUCAAAUGUUUUUCUAUAAGCAAAGAACUCCAAUAAAAUAAAGAGAUUCCACACACCCUCAAGCACAAGAUGUGAAAAAGUUGGAGAAAUAAAAAAAAGUCGAGGAACAUAACUUGAAAACAACUGCACAAUGACAGCAAAAUGUAGCAACAACCUUCCAACAAUAAAUGACAGAAACAGAACCUACUUAUAAAAAGCAGAGAUGUCUAGUUCAGAGGAAAACGUUCUCAUACAUUUCCAUUUAUAAUUAAACAUUUAACAAUUGUUACCUAACUAAUUAGGUACAAAUGACUAAUAAACUUUGAUCAACGUAUUGUUUAGAAAAAUUCAAAUUAAAGUCUUAAUUAAAAUAAUCAUUUAUCGGAUUUUAUUUAUUUAUUCAAUUUACUAAAAAUAAUUUCUUCUACAAAUUAGACCUUUAAAUUAUGGUAGUUGAUUUUAGUCAAAUAACCUCCUUAAUCCCGGAUUAAAAGUAUGAGGUAUUAUAGGUUUGAAUUCAAAAUCUCUUUAUUUUUUUAUGAAUUUCAUAGUAAGAUUCUUAAAAAAAUAUCCUAGACAAAAUGUAAGGUUGUUGGGUGGAAAAUUUCAGGUGAAAAAAAUAAAAUUUCCUUGACAUGCCGUACACUCACAAUUCCUAAUGUUUUAGUAUUCUCUUUGAUCUGUCAAAAACAAAUAUUCUCUUUAAAUUUGGAGCAUUUGUUGAGCUAUCAAAAUCUUGAACCUAUCUAUUUUGUUAGUAUAUGAUUAUUUAAGCUUCUAUAAUCCUUCUAACAAGGUGGAUAAAAUGUUGGGACAAACUCUUAUUAAUAAAGUUUUAAUUAUCGAUAAUGUUUUUUAUAGAGUAAUUUUGAAUUUACACUUAGAAUUCACAUAAUUAAAUAAUACAUGGUUGCUAUGUUUUAAUUUAUAUUAUUAGAACAACAACAAUUUCCGCCAUUGGCUUAUAAUAAUUUUUGACUAAUUUUGGCCUAUUCUAGAAUUAAGUCACCACCUAGCUAGUAUUAAUGCAAUCUUAAUCUAGCUUUGGUGAGAACACAAAAAAUCUAAUAGAAUUUGUCAGCAGAUGCCAAGGCAAAGAUAAUAAACAACCAAAAUCAUUACAAUAUUAAAAAUAUAUUUUAGUAACGUGGUCUAUUAAUUUGGUUUAUCCUAAUAUUGAAUACUUAGGAGAGGUAGGAAUAAUUCAAGUUGUUUAACAUGGCUUAUCACUUAGUUUACAAUAAUUUUAGGCCGAAUAUUUCUUAAGAGAUAGAGUAUAAAUCUUAUCUGAUAUAUAUCAACUAUAAAAUGUUAUUUGAUAUUACUUUAACUAAUAAUAAUUUCACCACUUUCCCAAUUUGUAUUUUUUAUAUAUAAAUAAUUAUUUAGAAGCCUAUUAUAUGUAGUUCAGGAUUCAUGUCACCCAAAAACUUAUGAUAUGUAAAACUAGUAAGCCACACUUGAGCCUUAAAUUGUAUAAAUAGAUUAUGUGAUGUAUUUCUCGACCCAUCCUAUUGUCGCCAUUAACUAUAAAGGUUCGUUUGAUGUACAUAGUAUGAUAAAGACAUGAUAGAAUAAAGACAUAAUAGAAUAAGGAGCAUGAUAGAGACAUGAUAGGAUAUGAAUAUGAUAAGAAGUUAUCGUGUCAUGUGUUUGAUGUGCACAUGAUAAUAAACUUGAUAAGAUUAAUUUAUCAUAUUCAGUGUUUGAUACACAACAAAUAAUCAAAUGAUAUGAUUUAUAUUAUGAUUAAAUAACAAAUUUGUCUUCAUAAUCUAUUUAAUUUUUUUUCUUUCAAAAUAACAUUCAUAUAAUUUUUUUUUUAUAAAACUCAAACAUAAAAGAUGAUACAGAAAAAGGGCAAAUAUGAACCCAAAAAAAAAUCAGAAAUUCUCUGAGUGAAAGUUUAUUUUUUCAACCUUUCGAUAUGAACACAGUAAGAAAACAAUCAUAACUUUUAUCAUGUUGUAAAAUAAAAUAAAUCAGAAAAAAAAAAAAAAACAUCAGGGCAAAUAUGAAAAGAGGAAAUCAACCCAACAUUAACAAUCAUAAAAUAAAUCCAAUAUCAACAACACAAAACAAUAAUAAAAUUAGAUGAAAUCAAAAAAUUAUUUCAUCAAUACAAUAAGAAAAUCAAAGGAAAUUUGAGCAAAUAUAAAAAAGGGGAAAAUAGGUAGAAAUGGUACCUUAGGAGAGGACGACGUUGGAGAGGAACACGAUGGUGGCAGUGGAGAGGGAGAGGAACACGACAAGUUGGGGUGGAGAAGGAGAGAGAAACGUGAAUAGGA
RNAcentral lists this long non-coding RNA (4946 nucleotides) under Cicer arietinum (chickpea). Its description in RNAcentral is "long non-coding RNA (CARI_LNC003312)". Lineage: Eukaryota; Viridiplantae; Streptophyta; Magnoliopsida; Fabales; Fabaceae. The record is from RNAcentral.